CCUACGGGUGUCAGCAGUGGGGAAUAUUGGGCAAUGGGCGCAAGCCUGACCCAGCAACGCCGCGUGAAGGAAGCAGGCUUUCGGGUUGUAAACUUCUUUUGACAGGGAAGAGUAGCAGACGUUACCUGUCGCAUCAGCCACGGCUAACUACGUGCCAGCAGCCGCGGUAAUACGUAGGUGGCAAGCGUUGUCCGGAUUUCCUGGGGGUAAGGGGCGUGUAGCCGGGUUGACAAGUCAGAUGUGAACUCCUGCGGCGUAACCGCAGAACUGCAUUUGAAACUGUUGAUCUGGAGUACUGGAGAGGCAGACGGAAUGCCUAGUGGAGCGGGGAAAUGCGUAGAUAUUAGGAGGAACACCAGUGGCGAAGGCGGUCUGCUGGACAGCAACUGACGGUGAGGCGCGAAAGCGUGGGGAGCAAACAGGAUUAGAUACCCCAGUAGUC
This 442-nucleotide ribosomal RNA is filed under the name uncultured bacterium. RNAcentral describes it as "partial 16S ribosomal RNA". It matches the Rfam family "Bacterial small subunit ribosomal RNA", at positions 338 to 795 of the family's 1533-position model. The record is from RNAcentral.